Molecule: long non-coding RNA, 500 nt
Filed under: Elaeis guineensis (African oil palm)
Lineage: Eukaryota; Viridiplantae; Streptophyta; Magnoliopsida; Arecales; Arecaceae
Description: long non-coding RNA (EGUI_LNC045058)
Source: RNAcentral
GGCUUGAGGAUGAUGUUGCAAGCCGCACACGCAUCCGACCUCUAGGAGUCGUCCACACGAGCCCACGAAUCUCGAUCAGAAGUCCUGCUUCAGGAAAUCAGCACAGUAUGCUAGUACUGCACUGAUCCUUCUUUGAUGGUUGAUUAGGUGCCUCCUUCUUCUUGAUUUGGACUCUUUCAAAGAUGAAAAGUAGAAGGAGGAGUUUCAGAUCUGAGACACUCUCAGGAAACUCAAGAUGGAGGGAGGAAAGAUGUGAAAACAAAAACCCAAGAAGAAGACCCUCUUCUUCUUCACGUUUUUCUCUCUAGACACCCAAACUUGUGUCUUUUAUAUCUCCACGACCCAAAAGUAUUUCUCUCUUAUUUUUGGAUGGCACAAAGGUCUCUCAAAUCUCUGAGUCCCCUUAAAAUUUCAUGAAGCAACUCAUCUUAUAUAGAGAGAUAUAAUAGAGUCCUUGUCUAGGUCAAACACCUAGUCAAGGCUUAUCCAAACAUGGCAAG